Molecule: ribosomal RNA, 1091 nt
Filed under: Gadus ogac (Greenland cod)
Lineage: Eukaryota; Metazoa; Chordata; Actinopteri; Gadiformes; Gadidae
Description: partial 16S ribosomal RNA
Rfam family: Bacterial large subunit ribosomal RNA
Source: RNAcentral
CAAAAGAGUGGGAAGAGCUUUGAGUAGAGGUGACAAACCUACCGAGCCCAGUUAUAGCUGGUUGCCUGUGAAAUGAAUAGGAGUUCAGCCCUUUAAGUCUUUCCCCCCUCACCCAUGCUUACGCUAAAAUUGAUUAAGGAAACUAAAGGCGUUAAUCAAAAGGGGUACAGCCCUUUUGAUAGAAGAAACAACUUUAACAGGUGACCCAAGAUCAUAUUACUCAAGGAUUUCAAAUUAAGUGGGCCUAAAAGCAGCCAUCUUAUCAGAAAGCGUUAAAGCUCAAAUUAGCCUAUAUCCUCAUAUACUGAUAUUACAUCUCCCUCCCUGCCCCUUACCAGGCUGUCUUAUGCCCCCAUAAGAACAAUUAUGCUAAAAUGAGUAAUAAGAAGAAUUUAAUUCUUCUCCUAGCACAUGUGUAAGUCGGAACGGACCUCCCACCGACUAUUAAUCGACCCCAAACCCAGAGGGUAAUAGGUCGUAUAAACAAGAAAAACACCUAUUUUGUAUCGUUAACCCCACACAGGUGUGCCUAAAGGAAAGACUAAAAGAGAAGGAAGGAACUCGGCAAACACAAGCCUCGCCUGUUUACCAAAAACAUCGCCUCUUGCUCCAAAAAUAUAAGAGGUCCCGCCUGCCCUGUGACUAUAAGUUUAACGGCCGCGGUAUUUUAACCGUGCGAAGGUAGCGUAAUCACUUGUCUUUUAAAUGAAGACCUGUAUGAAUGGCAUCACGAGGGCUUAGCUGUCUCCCAUCUCCAGUCAAUGAAAUUGACCUCCCCGUGCAGAGGCGGGGAUGAUUACAUAAGACGAGAAGACCCUAUGGAGCUUUAGACCUAAAGUAAGUCACGUUUAACAUGCUGUGAUAACAGUAAAAACUUAGUGAUAUUUACUGAAGUGUCUUUGGUUGGGGCGACCGCGGGGUAAAACACAACCCCCAUGUGGACCGGGGAUAUUAUCCCUAAUACUCAGAGCCUCUACUCCAAGUAACAGAAAUUCUGACUUUUCUGAUCCGGUAUAACCGAUCAACGAACCGAGUUACCCUAGGGAUAACAGCGCAAUCCCCUCUCAGAGCCCAUAUCGACGAGGGGGUUU